RNAcentral lists this ribosomal RNA (969 nucleotides) under Clostridium botulinum NCTC 2916. The record is from RNAcentral. Lineage: Bacteria; Bacillati; Bacillota; Clostridia; Eubacteriales; Clostridiaceae.
GAGGACCGGGAUGGACCAACCUCUGGUGCACCAGUUGUCACGCCAGUGGCACAGCUGGGUAGCUAUGUUGGGACUGGAUAAACGCUGAAAGCAUCUAAGCGUGAAGCCAACCUCAAGAUGAGAUUUCCCAUAGCGUAAGCUAGUAAGACUCCUGGAAGAACACCAGGUUGAUAGGUCAGAGAUGUAAGCAUGGCAACAUGUUAAGUUGACUGAUACUAAUAAGUCGAGGGCUUGACCAAAAUAAAUUCACUGUGUAAUUUUGAGAGAAACAAUAAAAAAAUUGUUAAAUCUCUAUUGACAAAUUGAAAAAAAACAAUUACAAUGUUAAAUAUCUGGUGAUUAUGGCUUGAAGGUAACACCCGUUCCCAUGCCGAACACGAAGGUUAAGCUUCAAAGCGCUGAUGGUACUGCAGGGGAAGCCCUGUGGAAGAGUAAGUCAUUGCCAGGUGAAAACAUGGAUCUUUAGCUCAGUUGGUUAGAGCAACCGGCUCAUAACCGGUAGGUCCGGGGUUCGAGUCCCUGAAGGUCCACCAUUUGGGGGUAUAGCUCAGUUGGGAGAGCACCUGCCUUGCAAGCAGGGGGUCAGGAGUUCGAAUCUCCUUAUCUCCACCAUGAUAUAAGAUACUUAUGAAUUUUCAUAAGUAUCUUAUUUUUUUAUAUCCAUUUAAAAAAUAAGAAAUUUAUUGUAAACUGAUAAUAUAAGAUUAUUUUAAUAAGGAGGUUAAUAAAAUAGUAUAUAGAAUUAAACAAUUUCACUGGAACGCUACUGCUAAAAUGGAGUAUAAAGACAUAGUAUAUAUAAAUAUGCAUUUAGAUAAUGAGGAGUUAAAGAUUUUUAAUAAAUUAUCUAUAAGCGAACAAAAGCAUUCUAUAAAGGUAGCUUAUGAUAUAGAAAAAUUAUAUGAAGAAGGUAAAUAUAAUCUAACAAAAGAUGAGUUUAUAAAGGUAGCUUUGUUACAUGAUAUAGGA